Molecule: long non-coding RNA, 2217 nt
Organism: Oreochromis niloticus (Nile tilapia)
Lineage: Eukaryota; Metazoa; Chordata; Actinopteri; Cichliformes; Cichlidae
Exons: 4
Source: RefSeq, a predicted model, not a curated record
GAAAAACAAAGUCACUAGUUUUAGCUCUGGUGCUGUAGCCCGUGGGAUGGCUGGCUUGUGCUCUGAGAGAUUAUGAAAUACAGUAAAUCAUGUUGAGUGACUGAGAUGGGUGAAUCACUAUAGGUUUUGCCUUGGGAGGAAGAAAAACAUCUGAAAAGACACACAUGGAAGAAGGGUUGAGAAUGGGUAGCAUCUAUAAAAGUAAAUGCUGCACGGAUCGGUGGACACGUCAGAUAAGCUCGGAUGGAGUCUGUAAUGACAGGAUCCGUGUACUUCCCAUUGUACACCAAUAGGAGGUGUCCAUGCAGCAGCAACACUGGCAUCUGAAGUCCUCUGCCUCACUGACCUCAGGCUGACUGCACAGCUGUCUCUCGUGCGGAGGGGGUCCCCUCUACGUGCUGUAUGUAUUGUAUAUAACCAGCUUAUCACUAACCUCCAGAACCUCUCUCAUUAUCCCUUGCACAAAUUCCACACACCAAAUUAACUAGGAGCUCCCAGACUCCAGUUCAUAAACAUCUGAUUAUAAAGUCUACCACUCUGAUUUCUUCAGAUUUCAGCAGGAUUAAAUCUGUUGUUUACUCACAUUUUUAGGUGCUAAAAUUGACUUUAUCAGAGUGUGCAAAAACUUCUUAUAUAACGAGGUUUGGCAUUUCUUUUUAUGCAUCAUCUAACUGCUGGGCCAACCUUCAAAUGACAUUCUCUGAGCCAGAGCAGCUAUCUUUGUAAUGCAUUUCUUUGCAGCUUGUUCAAAGACAAAAAAGUGAAACUAUAUGCACGCAGAGAAAGAUACUGUAAGAACAAGACUGGACACUGGUGCUGGGAAAUAUGAAGAAAAAUCCAAGGAGCUCUUUGUAACUCCUAUUUAAGUUUUUUCUUCUACACCUGAUGUGCAGCAUAACAAAAGUCAUAACAGUCAGCAGUAAAGCAGAAACUGGCAGGUUGAGACUGAUAUUUAAGUAAUGAUAUAUAAUUUCUAUACAUUAGGGGAUUUCUCUAAGACGGAUCAGAUGUGCCCUGCUUUGAAAUGUUUCACAGACCCAAUUCAACACAAAACUAAGAUAGUGAAAGAGUGGAAAUAUAGACCAUGGGCCAACCCUGUAAUCAUAAUGAUACAAGGGCGUUUGAUUCAAAUAUGACAACUCUGCUGCAAACCAGUCUUCUGAAAGAGGACUGAUGAUACAGGACGCAAGCAGAAAAAGGCUCAGGAGUAGUAACUCCGCCUGUGUUUAUAGCACCGGCUGUUUUCACUGGAAACGUUUGAGUUCCACACAUUUCUAAAUAGAUCUGUACAGCAGCAGAGAAAAACUAGGUUUGCAGUACGACCCACACCCAUGUUUGUGGGACACGGAUCUUGUGUUGACACUAGGGGGUCAAAGCUUAAUGUGAUACAAGCAAAGCGGAUUUGUAAAUUCCACUCCCACUUCAGUCAAAAAGCAUUUGAGUACAGAGCAGGGCAUGCUUUACCGUGAAUAUCCUUGUAACUGUAAAGUUGUUUCUCAGUUAGAUUCACCCCUUGCUACUCAUGUGCAGUUUCAAAAUAUCAAGAAGGCAAAAGCCAAAAAUGUUUAGACUGAAGCUUCAGAACGGGACUUUACUAACCAAUAACUGAUGUCACUGUGGCUACAGUCAUGUGAAAAAUAAAGGUUUUACAAGAGUUUAUGCAGUCCAGUAAAGGCUAGGUAUACCCCAUGAUUCAUGACUUUCAGUAAUCCUUUUCAGUAUGACGUCAUUAGUCUCUCACAUGAUUGUAGAGGAAUCUUGGCUGACUCUUCUUCACAAAGUUCCUACAGUUCAUCAAGGUUUGUUGUUGUUGUUUGUUUUUUUUCCAGCACAGCUGUCUUAAGGUCCCAACACAGCAUUUCAGUUAGGUUGAGUUCUGGACUUUGCAUCAUUGCAAUAACUUAAUUCUUUACUUUUUCAGUCAUUCUGUUUUAGAUUUGCUGCUAUGUUUGGGAUCAAGGCCCUCUUGCACAACCCAACUGCAUAGUUCUUUUAAUAAACAGAGGAGAUCAUGGUCCAUUCAAUUAAAGUGCCAAAGUAACUGGAUGUGUAGUAACCUGUCUCAUCAGAUAGUUCAGAAACAGUCCAUCCAUCCAUCCUCUAAAUAGUGAGUCUGGACUUUGAUUUGAAUGUCUGACCCUGGAUUUUACCAACAACACCUGGAUGGAUUUUCUGUGGCUGGACCUUAUUAUCAAGAGUUUGUCCAUUUUUGGCCUG